GACGAACGCUGGCGGCGUGCUUAACACAUGCAAGUCGAACGGAAAGGCCUCUUUCGGGGGGUACUCGAGUGGCGAACGGGUGAGUAACACGUGAGUAACCUGCCCUUGACUUUGGGAUAACUUCAGGAAACUGGGGCUAAUACCGGAUAGGAGCUCCUGCUGCAUGGUGGGGGUUGGAACGUUUCGGCGGUUGGGGAUGGACUCGCGGCUUAUCAGCUUGUUGGUGGGGUAGUGGCUUACCAAGGCUUUGACGGGUAGCCGGCCUGAGAGAGUGACCGGCCACAUUGGGACUGAGAUACGGCCCAGACUCCUACGGGAGGCAGCAGUGGGGAAUAUUGCACAAGGGGUGGAAGCCUGAUGCAGCAACGCCGUGUGCGGGAUGACGGCCUUCGGGUUGUAAACCGCUUUCGCUCAUGACGAAGCUUUGUGUGACGGUAGUGGGUAAAGAAGCACCGGCUAACUACGUG
This 467-nucleotide ribosomal RNA is filed under the name uncultured bacterium. Its description in RNAcentral is "partial 16S ribosomal RNA". It matches the Rfam family "Bacterial small subunit ribosomal RNA", at positions 28 to 507 of the family's 1533-position model. The record is from RNAcentral.